GAAAGUUCUCAACCCGACUGAAAGUUUGUGUUGACCAUUUGCCAAACUUCAACUUCAGCGCUCUUCUUGAAGGGCAUGACUUGUCAUCCUAAUAUAAUUAGCCCCUCCUCCAGCGGGUCAGACACACAAUAUCCCCCAGCCUCUUGGGGACAAAGAGAGAAUGGAAGCCAAGCCAUGGAGAAGGAAAAAGAAAAGUGUCAGAGGAUACACCCUCAGGCCGAGCACUGUGGCUGCCGUAGAACAGGACCUGCUCAGUGGUUUUGGGAUUGAGCUGAAUCUUAGAAUGAAAUCCUAGAAUUGAGGAGCUGAAGGGAUUAAAAUGGUAUCUGUAAUGUUAAACUUCAGACUGCUGCACAAUAUAUCUGUUUUAGGUACUUUUUAAAAGAUAAGAAGUAUAAGACUUCAAAGAAGGCUCUCCCUUGGGAGGGGUCCCUCCCGGCUUCACCUUAGAGUCUCUGCACAUUUAGCUCACCUGCAUUCGGGUGCUUAAGGGAGCAGAGAAGCACCAGUUUAGAUGAUGCAGGAUUUUCUGAUGCCAACGUGAGCAUGAUAAAAUGUCCGAAGGAAGAACACGAGGCUGUGCAUUCCAGGCAGAUUCUGGACGUGAAAACAAUGAGGCACACAUGCAUUUAGGUGAAUCGAUUCACUUUUAAUUUGCACACUUCCUAGAAGAAUGCCAUUUGCACUGGACCGUUCGAACCACUACAGAGCUCUUGGUCCUUCUAAUCCCCAAGAAAAGCCGAUCGAUCUAUGGUGUUCUGCUACACUGUGUUUUCCACUUUGCCCCUUUUUCUCAAUUCUUUGUGAUCAGCAUAAAGUUUGGACUCUGCCUCUUCUCGCCGUCCUGCCUGGCCACCUGUCCAGCUCUGCAGUCGGCUGUACUGACCAGCAGACGGUGCCUCUCUUGCCGAGUGGAGCCGAUGCUCUGUGACCAUUGUUUGUGGGGCUACCCCUUCAGGACACUGGUCAACAGCUGUGAGAGGCUUCGCAUCCUGGCCCAUAUGAAAGGAAGGCCUGGAAACACUUCUCGGAGCAUCAUCAGUUCAUAGGUCACGGCAACCGGCCGAACAAUACGCGAUUAUUCAGCGGGCUCAAUUCAUUUUCCUCUGCUCCUCCCCCACCGUUACCCUUGAGAGAGAAAACUAAUUUGCAGAAAAAUAGCCCCUGCCAGCCAACUUCUCCGCCUAAAUGUAUGCUGACCCCGAAC
This is a non-coding RNA of Callithrix jacchus (white-tufted-ear marmoset), 1207 nucleotides long. The record is from RefSeq and is a predicted model, not a curated record. NCBI's taxonomy places the organism in Eukaryota, Metazoa, Chordata, Mammalia, Primates, Cebidae.